RNAcentral lists this transfer RNA (73 nucleotides) under Intoshia linei. It matches the Rfam family "tRNA". Rfam says of the family: Transfer RNA (tRNA) molecules are approximately 80 nucleotides in length. Their secondary structure includes four short double-helical elements and three loops (D, anti-codon, and T loops). Further hydrogen bonds mediate the characteristic L-shaped molecular structure. tRNAs have two regions of fundamental functional importance: the anti-codon, which is responsible for specific mRNA codon recognition, and the 3' end, to which the tRNAs corresponding amino acid is attached (by aminoacyl-tRNA synthetases). tRNAs cope with the degeneracy of the genetic code in two manners: having more than one tRNA (with a specific anti-codon) for a particular amino acid; and 'wobble' base-pairing, i.e. permitting non-standard base-pairing at the 3rd anti-codon position. Lineage: Eukaryota; Metazoa; Orthonectida; Rhopaluridae. The record is from Rfam by way of RNAcentral.
GGUUUCGUGGUGUAGUGGUUAUCACAUCUGCUUAACACGCAAAAGAUCACGGGUUCAAAACCCGUCGAAACCU